UAGGAUUAGUAUUGCGCUAAUCUAAUUAGAGAAUUAUACUAUAAAUAAGAGUAUGAUAUAAUAACGUAGGAGAUGCAUGAUGUAAUUAGAAAUUCUAUUUUUUUUCUUUGGUCCUAAUUUUAGAAAUUUUUCUUUUAUUCUCUCUGAUUAUCUAUAUUUCUCUCUAUUCUUGAUACAAAUUCAUAUCAAAUGGUGCUUUCAUUAUGAACAUCAUGCCAAAUUCUCAUGGUGGUUCACCGGACUCAAUUUGGGAUCAAUUUCAAACUAGUUUGCAAUGUUUGGAUUUAAUUUAUCAAGAACGGACCAAGAUGCUUGUUCAGGCAACCUGCAUCAUUUGAUACAAAAUUGUAUUAAGAACUAGAGAGAAUUAGAGAUAAUCAGAGAGAAUAGAACAUAAAUUUCUAAAAUUAGAGUCAAAGAAAAAAAAGUAGAAUUUCUAAUUACAUCAUACAUCUCCUACAUUAUUAUAUCAUACUCAUAUUUAUAACAUAAUUCUCUAAUUCGACUAGAUCAAUACUAAUCCUAUCAAAAUGUUUCUUACUGUUAAUAAUGACUUUGUGUCAUGGAUGUUAUUCCUAUUCCUUUCACUGACUUUUCAUUUGUGAAAUGAUGCAUAUGCAUAUGAUAUAUAUGUCAUUAAUUAUUGCCAUGUGCGCUUGAAUACUAUUUCCCACUUUACAGUCUAUCACUUGGAAAUUUCCUUAACCAAUUACAUUACUUCCAAGAUUAUGAAUAAGAAAUAAGAAAUAAUUUUAACAAAAUCUUAAUUAACACAAUUAAUAUCUUUAAAUGUUAGAGAGAAUUUUAAAAUUUAUUUUAAAUGUUGGAAACAAAAAUAAUACUUUACUCAAUUUAGAAUCAACAAUAAUGAUAAAUAAUUACAAUCACACAGUAUGUAUAUAUUGCACAAAAAUAAUUGAUUGUCAAUAUAAAAUAUAAUAAUAGCAUAAUGGACCACAUACCUGAAGGGUUAAACUGUAUGAUGAGUGAAUUUCAAUCAUUGUCUCCCAAAUUGCAAAUUCUUCAUGUAAUGUAGUUAUGUUUUAGGUGGUUGAAUAAAGCAAUAAUCUUGUUGGCAAGUAUAUAUAUGCAAUGCAAGAGGGACAAGCUUGUUCACAACAAAAUAUCCUAAUUAUAUAUAUUUCUCUACUCCUAGCUAAUCUUUUGUCAUUAUGGGCAAUGAAAGUUAGACAUCAUCUGACAGUCUGACACCACACUCUCAUGAAUAGUUGAACAUGUUUGUAUAAAUAUAAUAAACAUUACACAUGUAGAAAAACAUUUGAAAAAUUACUUUUGAAAAUAAUUUAAAUAAAUAGAAGUAAACAUAUUGAUUAAAUUAGUCAUNNNNNNNNNNNNNAUAACUAAUUUUAGUGGUUAAUUUUAAUAAUGUACAAGUAAUAUUUCUGUAUAACAAUAGUUAUAUUAAGAUAAAUGUCAUAAAACUAUUAUCUUCUUUUUUUAAUCACCGAAAAAUGAUUAUAACUAAGUUUACGCUGAAUCAACCAAUGGUGGAUGAAAAAUGUGAAUCCACACAUUAUUUCACAUUAUAUGUAUAUGCAAUUAUGCAAACAUUCGCAAUGAAACUAUUUUAUAGUUGGACAUAUUCAUUGAAUUUAAUUUCUCUAUGAGCUGAGGUAUAUAAAUAAUGCGGUGAGAAGGGAUAAUAAUAAGAGGAGGGGACAAAAAUUAAACAUAUAUAGCAAAACAAUUGCAUAACGUUUUAAUUGUAAGAGGUGUAUGUGAUCAUUUUAUAUAGUUAUAUUACCUCAAUAAUUGAUAUUCCAUCAAUUUGCUUCUCCAUGAUGAACACCUUCAUAUACUUUCUCUACGUACAUUCACUUGAUCUGGACUUCGCAACACUUUAAUUUUUUUUUUCCACCUCAAUUUGAAAGCUCCAUCACUU
Molecule: long non-coding RNA, 1903 nt
Filed under: Arachis ipaensis
Lineage: Eukaryota; Viridiplantae; Streptophyta; Magnoliopsida; Fabales; Fabaceae
Description: long non-coding RNA (AIPA_LNC001089)
Source: RNAcentral